Molecule: long non-coding RNA, 872 nt
Organism: Aquila chrysaetos chrysaetos
Lineage: Eukaryota; Metazoa; Chordata; Aves; Accipitriformes; Accipitridae
Exons: 3
Source: RefSeq, a predicted model, not a curated record
CCGCUCCGCCCGGGCUGCGGGGCGGGCCCCGUGGCUCCAGCCACGCCUCGGGGUGGGCCCCGCAGGCUGAGCCGUUCCUCCCCCGUGCCCCAGUCCCGCCGCCGCUGUGAGGGGAAGCAGCGGGGCGGGCUGAGGUGUCCUCAGCGCCCCGGGCCUCCGGCAGGAUCUCCCUCAGGCGACGGCACCCCGUAGGAAGUGAGAGGUCCCUGCAGCCCCCCCCCCGAGCCCGAGCUGCCUAUCGGAGCCCGCUCUUGAGUGAGGGGUAUGGGCUCCGCCGCUGUGGAUGCGGGGAGAGGGGGGACCGCCAUGCGGGGUCCGGGACCCUGUCACUGAAGAGCGGCAAAUGUUCAAGGAAGAAAAAAAGUAAAACAAUAUAGGGCAUAUCUGAAGCAUUUUGGCCCUCUCGUACAAAUCCAGUGUGGCCAUCAUCAGUUUGAGGACUUCAGUAUAUACUUGAAGUAUAUGGAUAAGGAAAAGAUGACUAAACAGAGGCCUGGAAAGGAGAUGUGACCAUCAAACACUACACAGAUCUGUUAAAGAAGUUGGGACAUGUUAACCUGAGUGGCAAAUAAUACAGAAGAAAAAUGACUAAAACUUGAAGUCAGACUCUGGCAUGCUUGAAUACCAUAUGCCUGCACUAUUGAGAGACUGGAACAGAGUAUCUGGAGAAAGAUGAGAGAGUGUGGGUGGCAAUAGAAAAAACAACCACGACUGUAAGUUAGCAAGAUAAUAUCCUUACUUUCUUCUGUGGGUCUCAAGAGUGAUUAAAAAAACAUUCAUGUUUUAAAAAUAUUGCUGAAGACUACAGUGUGACUCAUAAUGCUUCAGAGAAUGGAAUUCUUGGAAGUUUCACUGUAAUGCCAGAUUUUAGA